Molecule: ribosomal RNA, 369 nt
Filed under: uncultured organism
Description: partial 16S ribosomal RNA
Rfam family: Bacterial small subunit ribosomal RNA
Source: RNAcentral
GGAGGGUGCAAGCGUUAUCCGGAUUUAUUGGGUUUAAAGGGUACGUAGGCGGCAGAGUCAGUCAGUGGUGAAAGCCAACAGCUUAACUGUUGAACUGCCAUUGAUACUGCUUUGCUUGAGUACAGUCGAGGUAGGUGGAAUUCCACAUGUAGUGGUGAAAUGCAUAGAUAUGUGGAGGAACGCCGAUAACGAAGGUAGCUUACUAGGCUGUUACUGACGCUGAGGUACGAAAGCGUGGGGGGAGCGAACGGGAUUAGAGACCCCGGUAGUCCACGCCGUAAACGAUGGUCACUCGAUGUGUAUCCUUUGAGAUAUGCGUCCUAGCGAAAGCGUUAAGUGACCCCACCUGGGAGUACGCUCGCAAGAGUG